GAUGAAGAACGUAGCGAAAUGCGAUAAGUAAUGUGAAUUGCAGAAUUCAGUGAAUCAUCGAAUCUUUGAACGCACAUUGCGCCCCCUGGAAUUCCGGGGGGCAUGCCUGUUCGAGCGUCUCGGGGACGAACCCUCGCGCGGGUGUACGCGCGGUCGUGGCUGCGGUGGCGUGCCCGAGGCGGCGGCCACCGCGCUGGAAUCCAUGGGCGGACGCCUGCCGCGUGGCCGAGCGUGAUAUGACGCAUUGGCGCUCGCACGCGGCGAGGCUGCCAGCCCUGGCCCGUCUGUCGGGCGGGGGAGAGCAAGACACGUGAACUCCUCGAAUCAGGUAGGGAUACCCGCUGAACUUAAGCAUAUCAAUAAGCGGAGGA
This 371-nucleotide unclassified non-coding RNA is filed under the name soil metagenome. Its description in RNAcentral is "partial contains 5.8S ribosomal RNA, internal transcribed spacer 2, and large subunit ribosomal RNA". The stretch from base 1 to 120 matches the Rfam family "5.8S ribosomal RNA", at positions 35 to 154 of the family's 154-position model. The record is from RNAcentral.